Molecule: ribosomal RNA, 702 nt
Filed under: Pterocladiella capillacea
Lineage: Eukaryota; Rhodophyta; Florideophyceae; Gelidiales; Pterocladiaceae
Description: eukaryotic LSU rRNA
Rfam family: Eukaryotic large subunit ribosomal RNA
Source: RNAcentral
CCGACACCAUGCCGUCUGAAUGAUAAAAUUUUCAGAUGAGUAGGAGGACGUGGUGAUCGUGACGAAGUAUGUGUGCGAACACGUAUAGAACGAUCACUAGUGCAGAUCUUGGUGGUAGUAGCAAAUAUUCAAGCGAGAUCCCUGAAGGGCGAAGCGGGGAAGGGUUCCACGCUAACAUUGAUUGGGCGUGGGUGAGUCGUUCCUAAGCCGAGUGGCAAUUGCUAAGUAACGGCGAAAGGGAAGCAGGUUUACAUUCCUGCACACGGAUGUGGAGGCGGUGACGCUUUAUUGAGGCGAACACAUUGGCGAUGGCGCUAGGCAGAGUUGUCUUUUCUGUUUAACCGUUUGUAUAUAUUGUGUGGAGUCCGAUUAUCGGGAGAAACACAUAUAUACGGGCAGAGCGCCGGGGCUUAUCCGGCGUCUAGCUCGCCAUCGACGAUCCUUGAAACUUUGCCUGCUGAAAUUUUAAUAUCCACGCCGUGGCGUACCGAUCACCGCAUCAGGUCCCCGAGGUGAACAGCCUCUGCUCAAUAUGAAAAAUGCAGGUAAGGGAAGUCGGCAAAUUAGACCCGUAACUUUGGGAAAAGGGUUGGCUCUAGUGCUGCGUGGGAGUGGUUGUCAUGUUGUGGUGUUAUUGAUACUGUUGAUAUGGCGUGAUACUUCGGUAUUGUUCUUUUCGACUGGUGUUGAUAAUACUACUCU